Coffea arabica (coffee) is the source of this 390-nucleotide non-coding RNA. The record is from RefSeq and is a predicted model, not a curated record. NCBI's taxonomy places the organism in Eukaryota, Viridiplantae, Streptophyta, Magnoliopsida, Gentianales, Rubiaceae.
GCUGUGCUUUGGUUUUAAGCAUUAAAUAAUGCUUAUGUUCUGCUUUCUAGAUUUGUGUGCAUUCUGCACGGAUUUCAUUGUGUCUGAAUUAUGGAUUCAAACCUCUUGGCAUAUCAGGUUUAAGAUUUCUGGUCAUGAUCUCUAUCUUUUCAUCAUCAACAUGUGCUUAUUUGAUACUAUUAACUUGAACUUCUCAACUAGGUGUUUGUAGAGAGCCAAGAUUAUGGUAUAUAUGGAGAACGAGUUAGGAACGCCUGUUGGGGUUACCUAUGUCAAAGUAGUGCCAAAGGACUUAAGGAGGUGACAACUACAAAUGCCUGUAACACCGUGACAUAUGAUGUGAACUUUUUUUCUUGAACUACCUUUUGAACAUGCAACUUAAUUCCUUAA